CAGGCCCAGUGUGCGCAGUGUCAGUCUGUGUUUGUGGAGCUGCUCGCUUGCGUUCUGCAUUCUGGCAGCGCCAUACACACGCAACCUGCGGCCAGAGAUCAAUGUGAGAUCAUAGUACUGGUCUAGUGAUGUCUAACCGACGCUUCUACCACUGGCCAGCCUCCAAUCUCUCAGACACAA
Xenopus tropicalis (tropical clawed frog) is the source of this 180-nucleotide small nucleolar RNA. The record is from Ensembl. NCBI's taxonomy places the organism in Eukaryota, Metazoa, Chordata, Amphibia, Anura, Pipidae.